GAAAUAACUAGCACAAAAUGCUGUAUUUCAUAACUGAUAGAUUGCUCAGGAAGAUGCAAUGAGACAUACAUUCUUGAUUGAAUAACCUCUUUUUUGAGUGCCAACAAAGUGCAUGUCCUCCAUGAGAAAACACUGCUCAGUGAGGGGACCGGGGCGCUAGGUAUUUUCUUUCUUCUGGCCAUAGGUGGUUCUCCCUGGCUACGAGGCCUCACACGGGUAGAGUUCAACUGUACUUGCAAGUUUCCCCGCAAAAAGCUCUUGUGAAGUGUCUCUCUGGUAUUGGGAGAACUUCAAGCCCCUCUGCUUGAGAAUAAGCAUUCGCAACACUAAGACUUCAAAUUGUUUGAAUACAGGAUAAAUGGGAUCAUAUUCACAAGACUUACGGCUCUGGAUUCCUAUUGACCCGCUUCAUCAGUGCAACAGUGUCACCGUUCUCGUCCUAUGAGAAGGCAAAAGAGGUUGAAGAGUUUUUUGCUAGCCGUACCAAGCCGUACAUUGCAAGGACGUUGAAGCAAAGCAUCGAGAAGGUUCACAUUAAUGCAAACUGGGUGCAGAGCAUUCAAAACGAGAAAAAUCUUUCCGAGGCUGUGACAGAGCUUGCAUACCGGAAAUACUGAAGCUCUUGUUGAACCUAGUACCCGCCCUUUUAGAGAGUUUCUAGUUGCUCAUUAAUAAGUUAUACUUUUUAAAAUGGUUGUCUCAGAAAAUAAUGAAAAAGGAGGGAGUACUCUGAUGAUCCCCUCUUUGAUCAAACUAGAGGCAAUAGGUUUGCAUACUUAUAAAUCAUGAUGUUUGAUUUUGAACUGUUUUUCUUGCUGUGCUCCAGAUGAACCAGGUGUAAUAUGAGAUAUCUCUUUAAUGAAAUAGAUGUUAACAUUUCUGUUGGGAACACAA
Lycium ferocissimum is the source of this 894-nucleotide long non-coding RNA. RefSeq lists it as uncharacterized. The record is from RefSeq and is a predicted model, not a curated record. Lineage: Eukaryota; Viridiplantae; Streptophyta; Magnoliopsida; Solanales; Solanaceae. The transcript is spliced from 2 exons.